UCCCUUCAAGUGCCGGAGCGCGUCGC
RNAcentral lists this small RNA (26 nucleotides) under Bombyx mori (domestic silkworm). Its description in RNAcentral is "ovarian small RNA-27425". Lineage: Eukaryota; Metazoa; Arthropoda; Insecta; Lepidoptera; Bombycidae. The record is from RNAcentral.